UUCCAGGUAAAUAAUCAUAUCCGUUAAUCUUGAUGUUCAAAAUCAAUGAUUGUAAAAUAUUCACAUCAGUCAAGGCAAUAUUCAAAUUUGGAUAAGCAUUAAAAUAUAUUGCACCAUAUGCCAAAGUCAAUUGUAUAGAACCAAUCAAAGAAUUUUCCAAUUUAGAUUUCUUCCAUCUCGUAAAGCAUCAACAAAACUUUCAGGUAAGCCUUUUAAUAUUAAUGGCUUGAAAGCAACUUGAACUAACCCAAUAUGCAGAUAAUUGAAAUCUUUAGAUUUAU
RNAcentral lists this long non-coding RNA (281 nucleotides) under Nicotiana benthamiana. RNAcentral describes it as "long non-coding RNA (NBEN_LNC033355)". Lineage: Eukaryota; Viridiplantae; Streptophyta; Magnoliopsida; Solanales; Solanaceae. The record is from RNAcentral.